Molecule: ribosomal RNA, 253 nt
Filed under: uncultured bacterium
Lineage: Bacteria
Description: partial 16S ribosomal RNA
Rfam family: Bacterial small subunit ribosomal RNA
Source: RNAcentral
UACGUAGGGGGCAAGCGUUAUCCGGAUUUACUGGGUGUAAAGGGAGCGUGGACGGCGAUGCAAGCCAGAUGUGAAAGCCCGGGGCUCAACCCCGGGACUGCAUUUGGAACUGUAUAGCUAGAGUGUCGGAGAGGCAGGCGGAAUUCCUAGUGUAGCGGUGAAAUGCGUAGAUAUUAGGAGGAACACCAGUGGCGAAGGCGGCCUGCUGGACGAUGACUGACGUUGAGGCUCGAAAGCGUGGGGAGCAAACAGG